GUUCCUUUCUUCCAAACACCACCACCAUUUUGAUCACCACCCCUUAACUCAUCAGUUUCCACAUCUUUCUCUCUCUAGCUCUCUGCCUAUAGUUUGACUUACUAGUUGUUGUGUCAUCAUUACCUCAAUUAUUGAGCUUGAUGUACUGCACGGGGACAAGUGUCAUCCCAUCUUUGGCCCACGAGCUGAAUGACCUCCACAGUGCCACCAUCAGACCAGCGUUUGUACCCUCGCUUGCUUCCUUGCUUUAUCUCAUUGCAACCCCUGGUUCUCUCUCUCUCUCUCUCAUACAUACAGACACACAC
This 305-nucleotide long non-coding RNA is filed under the name Elaeis guineensis (African oil palm). RNAcentral describes it as "long non-coding RNA (EGUI_LNC026299)". The record is from RNAcentral. Lineage: Eukaryota; Viridiplantae; Streptophyta; Magnoliopsida; Arecales; Arecaceae.